UGGGCCCGCUCACCUUGCUGCCACCAUGGUUGGGCCUCGCUCUGCUACUCAGGCUCCAGGGCCCAGCCCUGCUCCCCUCUUCGCUCUCCAGGGCCCUGCAGCCCUCCUUACCAUCCUGGGCUAGGCCCCACUCCAUUCCUUGUCCUUCAGGGUCAGGCCCCACUCCCCUUGGCACUGCCAUCACUGUCCUCCAGGGGAUGGGCCCUGCCUCCUUGCUAGUCCAUCAGGGCCUGUGCCCCAUUCCCUCCUCACCCUCCAGGGCCAGGCCCUGCUUCCCUCCUCACCCUCCAGGGCCUGGCCCCAUUCCCUCCUCACCCUCCAGGGCCUGGCCCGGCUCCACUCGCUGCACUACAGGGCCUGACCCCGCUCCACUCCACGCCCUCCAGGGCCUUACCCUGCUCCCCUCACUGCCUUCCAGGACCUGGCCCCAUUCCCCUUGCCACACUCUAGGGUCUGGCCCCUCUCCCCUCCUUGCCCUCCAGGGCUGGGCCCUCCUCAACUCCUUGCCCUCCAGGGCCAGGCCCCAUUCCCCUCCUCACCCUCUUGAGAUUAGACCCUGCUCUCCUCCUCACCCUCCAGUGCCAGGCCCUGCUCCCCUCCUCGCCUUCCAGGGCAUGGACCCUCCUCCCCUAUAUGCCUUCCAGGUCCAAGCCCUGUACCUCUUGCUGUCAUCCAGGGCCAGGCCCUGCUCCCCCUGCCACCCUCCAGGGUCGGGCCCUGCUCCCCUCCUUGCCCUCCAGGGGCAGGCCCUGCUCACCUCCUCGCCUCCAGAGCCUGGGCCCUUCUCCCCUCCUCACCCUCCAGGGAUUGGCCCUGAUACCCUCCUCACCCUCCAUGGCCUGGGCCCAGCUCCCUUCCAUGCCCUCCAGGGCCAGGCCCCGGUGCCCUCCUCGCCAUCCAGGUCCAGGCCCAGCUCACCUCCUUGCCUCCAGGGCUGGGCUUUGCUCACCUCCUCGCCCUGCAUGGCCUUGCCCCACUCCGCUCGCUGCCCUACUGGGCCUGACCCUGCUUUCCUCCAUGCCCUCCAGGGCCUUACACUGCUCCACUCACUGCCUUCCAUUUCCUUGCCUGGAUCCCCUUGCCACCAACCAGGGCCUGACCCUGCUCCCCUCCUCACCCUCCAAGGCCUGGCCCUGCUCACCUCCAUGCUCUCCAUGGCCUGGGCCCUGAUCUCCUCACUACCUUCUAGGGUCUGGCCCUGUUCCUGUUGCCCUCCAGGGCUUGACCCCACUCCCCUCCUCGACCUCCAGGUCCAGGCCCCCCACUUCUCACUACCCUCCAAGGGCAGGCCCUGCUCCCCCUGCCACCUUCCAGGGCCUACCCUGCUCCCUUCCUCGCCCUCCAGGGAUUGACCCUGAUCCCCUCCUCGCCCUCCAUGGCCUGGCCCCAGCUCCCUUCCAUGCCCUCCAGGGCCAGGCCCCGGUGCCCUCCUCGCCAUCCAGGGCCAGGCCCUGCUCCCCUCCUCACCAUCCUGGACCAGUCUCCCCUCCAUUCCCCGCCCUUCCCCGCCCUCAGGCCUGACCCUCUGGCUUCCUUGCCC
Molecule: long non-coding RNA, 1540 nt
Filed under: Oryctolagus cuniculus (rabbit)
Lineage: Eukaryota; Metazoa; Chordata; Mammalia; Lagomorpha; Leporidae
Description: lncRNA (ENSOCUG00000036037.1)
Source: RNAcentral